CCCUUACCGCCGCUGCGGUCUCGAAGGGUAAUUUGGUAAUCAUGGUAAGGAGGUGACGUGUCGGUGGUCCCGUCUGGGGGGGAGAUCUCUUCGUAGCGUUGUUGGUUUCUGGUCGCCAGAGGCCAGGCACAUGGGAGCGGCAGCGGCUGCAGCAGCGCUGCUGGAUACAUCGAGAACUCUUGCCCCCAGGUCGUUUUCAAUUAUAAUUUACUUAUUUUUUUCCUCUUUUCUCUUCUUUCAAAUGUUAAAAUAUUAUAAAGUAUGGGAUAAAAUAAGAUCAAAAUGUCACGAAAAUUAAUGGGGCCAUUAAAUACUCGCCUCCCCCGCUCUUAUUAAUGGAGCAAUGCAGGAGAAUGGGAAGGGAGGGGGAGAAAGUCCCGAGUCCCUUUUUUUUAACUCCUUCUUGGCCUUGCUGCUGCCUUUUUUUAAAAAUUUAGUUUAUAUGUACAUUUUUUUAAUCUCUCAGCGGCUCUCAGUGGUGGCGUGCCGCUCUUAGGUCGUGGAGGAGCGGCCGGAGCUUCCGCUAUGGGUACGUGAAACCCGGGGAGUACGUUUCUUGGUCGCCGCGUCCCCGAAUUACCCUCGGUUCGGACCGGCUCUUCUUGGCCGCGCCAUCGUCUCGUGGGAGGUAGCAGGAGGGGCAUUCCCGUCAUUUUGAGGUGGCUGGGUACGAAUAUUUCAGGCUGGGGAGCUAUUGCGUGUGGGAUGGAGGGAAGAGUAGGGGAAGAGGCGGGAGGGGAGGAGGGGAAGAAGUACACUUAAAACCGGGGUUGGUAAAUAUUGAGGAGUUAUAAAAGAGGGGGAAAAGAAGAGGAGAGAGAUUUACUGCAUGCCCUUGCUUUUGUUUCUUUCUUUUUCUCUCCAGGAGAAUGAGAAGAGUGAAGAGAAAGGAAGAGGGGAGAAGGUGUCUCCUCCUUAAAAAGGGAGGCCGGCCUCUACGGCCAAGCUAGAGAAAGAGAGGAAGAUUAAAGCUUUGGUCUCAAACGCGAGGCAUUUGGUUCCCUCGGCACGAGAGAAGGCGCGAAGGCGUCGAUGGCGGUGGCGGUGGCAAAGGAGGAGAUGAUGGUGGGCUACUGGCGGUGGUGGUGGUGGUGGUGGUGGUGGAAGGCUGCAUACACAAGGUGAUGAGGUGGUGUCGUGGUUUUGAGGUGUAUGUUCGCUUGUGGAACUGGGAUAUUGGCGUAAUAGGCUCAAUCACUUCUUUUUUUU
This 1209-nucleotide long non-coding RNA is filed under the name Phoenix dactylifera (date palm). RNAcentral's name for it is "long non-coding RNA (PDAC_LNC013585)". The record is from RNAcentral. Lineage: Eukaryota; Viridiplantae; Streptophyta; Magnoliopsida; Arecales; Arecaceae.